GGGGGGAAAGCAAAAACUCUCGCUUAACGCACACCAGACGACAGGAUAUUUUCUUAUGGACAUGCCACAAUGUGGACUCUGCUAAAUUCCAUCCAAAGGUGGUGGCUGUUUUCAGGGCCAGCGGAAGCAGAUCCGGCUGGCUAAGUGGCACCUGGGAGCAGUAUCGAGCGGCGCAGUCGGCUGACUUUUACAGAUGUGUCGUGAUGUGCUUAUUGGCACAACAGAGGAUCGUUUGCUACUCCAACUCCUGCUACGUCACCACCACACAGCAUAGUAUGAGACCAGCCGGGUGGGGAGGCAAACCAAACAGCCAUUCCCAUGGGGGUGGAGAACAACUGCCAGAUGGAUGGAAAAGACACAAACUGCAAGAAAUGCCACAAUGACAAUAUGCAGACUGCUUUGCUCCUGUCAACAACAAGGAACAAUUGGUUAUGUAUUGAAGAGGAAACGGGAACUUCAAACAGAACUCUGAUAUCACAAGUCUAUCACAAGCCCCAAAAUCGACACGGCAAAACAAACGUCUCAAGAAGGCAAUGAGAGUUUUGGGUGAUCGUGGACGAAUAAACUAU
Long non-coding RNA from Syngnathus typhle (broad-nosed pipefish), 569 nucleotides. RefSeq lists it as uncharacterized. The transcript is spliced from 4 exons. NCBI's taxonomy places the organism in Eukaryota, Metazoa, Chordata, Actinopteri, Syngnathiformes, Syngnathidae. The record is from RefSeq and is a predicted model, not a curated record.